This 198-nucleotide ribosomal RNA is filed under the name uncultured bacterium. Its description in RNAcentral is "partial 16S ribosomal RNA". It matches the Rfam family "Bacterial small subunit ribosomal RNA", at positions 328 to 539 of the family's 1533-position model. The record is from RNAcentral.
ACGCUCGACACCUACGGGAGGAGCAGUGGGGAAUAUUGCACAAUGGGGGAAACCCUGAUGCAGCGACGCCGCGUGAGUGAAGAAGUAUUUCGGUAUGUAAAGCUCUAUCAGCAGGGAAGAAAAUGACGGUACCUGACUAAGAAGCCCCGGCUAACUACGUGACCAGCAGCCGCGGUAAUCUGAGCGGGCUGGCAAGGC